Molecule: unclassified non-coding RNA, 231 nt
Filed under: plant metagenome
Description: partial contains small subunit ribosomal RNA, internal transcribed spacer 1, and 5.8S ribosomal RNA
Source: RNAcentral
UCUCCGUUGGUGAACCAGCGGAGGGAUCAUUACAGAGUUGCAAAACUCCCAAACCAUCGUGAACGUUACCUAUCCCGUUGCUUCGGCGGGCGGCCCGGGCCCCGCGCCCGGCGCCCCCCGGCCCCCCGUGGGCGCCCGCCGGAGGUAAACCAAACCCUUGAAUUGCAUGGCCUCUCUGAGUCUUCUGUACUGAAUAAGUCGAAACUUUCAACAACGGAUCUCUUGGUUCUG